Molecule: ribosomal RNA, 781 nt
Filed under: Diplommatina sp. nov. AK MS-2010
Lineage: Eukaryota; Metazoa; Mollusca; Gastropoda; Architaenioglossa; Diplommatinidae
Description: eukaryotic LSU rRNA
Rfam family: Eukaryotic large subunit ribosomal RNA
Source: RNAcentral
AAACCGCCUAGAGGUAAACGGGUGGAUCCGCAAAGUCGGCUCGCGAAAUUCAGCUCGGAAGGCUGGUGCGGGCGCCUGCAGGACCGAGAUCUGUCUGGACUCGCCUGCCGCCCGUCUCCUGCCAGCCUGACGUGUGCACUUUUCGCGGGCAGAGCGCCACGACCGGUUUCCCGGGGCAGUCAGAAGGCGGCGAGGAAGGUAGGCGGGCACCCCCGGUGUUCGCUGUUAGAGCCUCGCCUGUUUCCCGAUCUGCUGGGGGACCGAGGAGCCGCCGCUCGGCCGAUGCUACCCGGCCGUCCUGGAGGGGUUUCGACUGGCAGAGACUGGGCCAACCCGUGUCUGCUGACCGCCCUUCCGGACGGAYCGGGGUGCUCUCUGUAGCUGGCCGCAAGCAAAGGGUCGGUGGCGAAUCGGUCGGCACUCCACCCGACCCGUCUUGAAACACGGACCAAGGAGUCUAACAUGCGCGCGAGUCGUUGGGUCGUACGAAACCCGAAGGCGAAGUGAAAGCGAGGGCCGUCCUCGCGACGUGCUCAGGUGGGAUCCCGUCGGGGACAAAAGGUAAGGCGGGCGCACCACCGGCCCGUCUCGUUCGCGUCGUCGAGGAGGCGGAGCAAGAGCGUGCACGUUGGGACCCGAAAGAUGGUGAACUAUGCCUGAGUAGGACGAAGCCAGAGGAAACUCUGGUGGAGGUCCGCAGCGAUUCUGACGUGCAAAUCGAUCGUCAAACUUGGGUAUAGGGGCGAAAGACUAAUCGAACCAUCUAGUAGCUGGUUCCCUC